RNAcentral lists this ribosomal RNA (780 nucleotides) under Herbiconiux ginsengi. RNAcentral describes it as "bacterial SSU rRNA". It matches the Rfam family "Bacterial small subunit ribosomal RNA", at positions 62 to 852 of the family's 1533-position model. The record is from RNAcentral. Lineage: Bacteria; Bacillati; Actinomycetota; Actinomycetes; Micrococcales; Microbacteriaceae.
UCGAACGGUGAAGCAGAGCUUGCUCUGUGGAUCAGUGGCGAACGGGUGAGUAACACGUGAGUAACCUGCCCUUGACUCUGGGAUAAGCGUUGGAAACGACGUCUAAUACCGGAUACGAGCUGAGACCGCAUGGUCAUCAGUUGGAAAGAUUUUUUGGUCAAGGAUGGACUCGCGGCCUAUCAGCUUGUUGGUGAGGUAAUGGCUCACCAAGGCGACGACGGGUAGCCGGCCUGAGAGGGUGACCGGCCACACUGGGACUGAGACACGGCCCAGACUCCUACGGGAGGCAGCAGUGGGGAAUAUUGCACAAUGGGCGAAAGCCUGAUGCAGCAACGCCGCGUGAGGGAUGACGGCCUUCGGGUUGUAAACCUCUUUUAGUAGGGAAGAAGCGAAAGUGACGGUACCUGCAGAAAAAGCACCGGCUAACUACGUGCCAGCAGCCGCGGUAAUACGUAGGGUGCAAGCGUUGUCCGGAAUUAUUGGGCGUAAAGAGCUCGUAGGCGGUUUGUCGCGUCUGCUGUGAAAACUGGAGGCUCAACCUCCAGCCUGCAGUGGGUACGGGCAGACUAGAGUGCGGUAGGGGAGAUUGGAAUUCCUGGUGUAGCGGUGGAAUGCGCAGAUAUCAGGAGGAACACCGAUGGCGAAGGCAGAUCUCUGGGCCGUAACUGACGCUGAGGAGCGAAAGCGUGGGGAGCGAACAGGAUUAGAUACCCUGGUAGUCCACGCCGUAAACGUUGGGAACUAGAUGUGGGGGCCAUUCCACGGUCUCCGUGUCGCAGC